CUCCCGACCUCAGGUGAUCUGCCCACCUUGGCCUCCCAAAGUUCUGGGAUUACAGGCUGGUUUCACUUCUUAAAAGAUUUUGACUACUUCUGAUAGGGACAGGAAGCAGAGAAAUUCUAGGCAGAAAAGGGUGGGGUCUCUGGCGAGGGCCCCAUCCUCAAGCCUGGAACCACAGCCCAAAGUGAGAACUUUACAUGCCCGUUUUCCUGCUCGAAUGUUGCCUUUUCCAAAGCCACACCUGGACUGCCCUGCACUCCAUCCUGGUACCCAUAAAAACUCCAAGCUCCACUGGCAGAGAGCAGAGAAGGGGAGAAGAGAGGAAGUGGCUGAAUGUUGGAGAGAAGCAGUUUGACUUCAGAGGGACAGCUUGAUGGUGGGACUUCAGGGGAAGAAUACCUUCCCACUCCAUCCCCUUUCCAACUCCUCUUCCCACUAAGAGCCACUUCCAUAGGCAAUAAAAUCCCCCACAUUUGCUAUCCUUCAAUUCAUUCAUGUGACCUGAUUUUUCCUGGAUGCUGAACAAGAGCUCAAGAUACAGAAGGCUGUCACGCUGACCCUCUACCCUUGCAAAAAGGCAGAGCGUCCACUAAGCUGUUAAUCAUUUAAGCCAUCUGUGGAUGAUAAAGCUGAAAGAGCACUGCCUGUAACACUCCUUCUGGGGCUUUGGGGAUAGUGGGUACUCUCCCAUAGAUGCUGCCAUGGGCCCCGCACAGCAUUUUGCUCCUGACAGUGCCCAGAAGCACUUGCCCUGGCUCCUUCCUGCACAAGCUCAGCUGCACUGCUCCUCUCACAAGGGGUGGAAUGCAGUGGAUCCCAGUGAGUGAAGCCUCUGAAGCCACUGGCUAGCUCCAGCACCCACAUUCUAGUUCCCACCCAUGAAGGGGUCCAGGAAAAUUUCCUGUUUCACUUCUGUUUUAUCCCCACUAGUAAACUGUAGCCCUUCAGGGAUCACACCUGAACACCUGUUAUGUUUACCAACACCCCUUUUUAUGACUUAUUCUCAUCUCCAUAUUUUUUCUCCCCAGCAUAGUGAAAUGGCCAAAAACUCUACUCAUCAUUUUAGUGUCUUUAUUCCUCUGCUUCUUAGUCUUUUUUCCUAAACAACUUACAAAUAGCCUAAUCCCUCAAUAGGAAGACUGGCACACAGUGUGGCUCUCAUCUUAAUAUCCCCAUUUCACUAUCCAGGAUUUGGGUUCCUCAAGAUUGGGUUGCCUUGAUUGGUCCAGACUCCAGCCUUCGUUUCCCCACUUUCGUGAUACAUGGAGAGCGCUGCUUAGCUGCUGAUUCUUUGUUGGGUUCUUCUCCAUUUUCUGGCAGGCACUUAUCUCCAUGAUAGACAUCAAAGUGGCAAUGACCAAUAGGAAAAGCCUCAUGCAGUUCCUCACAAGACUGUGGCCUUUAACUCUUGGUUAUUCAGUAGCUCCCUAAUACCUGCAAACAAAUGUUACUUUCAUUUCAUUCAGCUUUUCUAGUUGUUGCUCUUGGAAGUAUUGGUAUUAAUAGACAGAAAUGAGAGUCCUGGGGCCACUUCUUGUAAGAAGUAAAAGUUUCAGGCAGGUGUUCAUAGCAACCAAUGAAAUAAGCAGAGGUGCUGUAGAGAACUCUGGAAAGUUCCCAGAAGGGCAGUCCUUACCAUCAAUAUCAUGAGCUGACCCUUGGCUGCAAUUGAAGAGGCUGCUGCAUCUCAGCAGAUCAGAAUCAUCUGUAAUAUCUUAUUUGAAGAGAUGAAAUGACUACAUGCUUUAUCCAGCAUCACUCCCAAGAAUGUGAAGGAGACCGCUCUUUAAUACAUCACGGAGAGACAGCUUCUUGAGCAUGAGCCAGAAAUGAGUUCCUCAUAAAAGAUCCAGGUCAGAGCAUAAGCACUGGGCCAGUGUAGCUCCAAUGUCACUGGUGUGCUGCGUCCUGCUCUUACCAGCUCAUGAAAACCUCUUGUGUGUAUCUUUUCUCAACUCUGUGUUCAGUAACAUCACAUUAGCACCAUGAAAUUGGCCAUGAUGGGAAUAUUUACACCAUGGAAAUCAGCAAGCACUAUAAAUCAGAGCCUUGUUUUACUCAGAGAGCUGAUUAUAAAACAUUAGCCAGCAUAUUACCACCCAGAGGAGGUGAAUGGCAGAACACUAGGGCCAGAUUUCAAACCCUGUAUUAGGCUUGUAUGCUGAGGGCUGACUCAGUAACAGGCAUCAUGUCAAACUCUUUGCACGUGUUCCAUCAUUUAAUCCUCACAAUAAAACUGUGAGAUCAGAUGAUGGAGAGUAGGAGAUUUUGUGUAACCUGCUUAAGACCGCAGAGCAACCUAGGUCAGUCUGGUCCUCACAUCUUUGUUCUUAACUACUGCACUAAACAUUCUCCCUGCAGCUGCACAAAAUGGGAGGACAAACCCUAGACUAAAUGGAUUGGGAGGUUUUUAGUUACUGAGGGCAGAAAACAUAGUAUGGCAGAGUCCAAGAACUGGUGUUGGAACUGAGCACAUAGCAAGUCUACAUAUGACAAUGCAAACAGACCCUGAGGCAGGGCCUACAGGUUCCCAGUGAGCAGAAAAGCAAACUCAAAUAAGCUGGGAGGCAGUAGCCAGUCUUGGAUGCAUCUGUGGCUGAUGGGCAUAGUGCAAUGACACAGGAAACUAGAAUCAGCAAUAUGACAUGGCCACAUGCCAGCAGUAGCAGGAACCUGCCCGUGGGGCUUGGCGGCAGUUCUCUGCACUCACAGUGAGUGAUUUCCAAGAGCUAUGCAUAUCUGUCAAAGGAAUUUAGGUUCUAGGUGGGUUUUUCAGUCUGGGACUUGGUGAUGAUCCAGAGUUCCUGCUUUCAGGAAGAGGCAAUUUGAUCAGAAUAGAACUAGCAGAACAGAACUCAGGAUUAUACAAAGAUUCUGCAGUGUAGAGGGGUAGAGGUUCUUAGCUACGGAGAUGUCCCUGCCAAGACCUAAAAGCUGGGAGAGAAGGGACACCCAGAAUACUGAGAACUAAGCAGGCCUGGAACAAUGCCAAGGCAGGAUACAGGUUAUCCAUAGUGUGUAAAAUCUACAUGUUUUGGAGCAUAUUUUUAUUCUUAAAAAAUAGUGCUACAGAUUAUGGUGGAUAAUGCAGGUGCCCCACCACAUCCCCUAGCUGCCGUGAAUGUUGACUGCUGGAUAGUAUUCCAUCUACCUUGCUUCUUGCUUCUCUCAUUCUUCUUUUCUUAAGAGAAGCACUUCAACAAGAAUUCUUCUCAGGCUCUGCUUUUGGGGAAAGCAACCUAAGACACAGGGAAUUUCAGCUCCUUGAAUGCUCUUCGUCAAAGAACUAUUCUCCUCUCUCUGAGAAGGUGAUCCUCCUCAACCACAGAGGCAGUUUCAGGAAGAGUGCCCAUGGAGGCUUGAAAAGGAGUGUCACGUCUAGGCAGCCAGAGCACACAUGUUGCUAUCUGGACAAUCAAUGAACUGUUCAUGAUGCUCUCUCUGGCCACCUUCCAGACAGGAAGAAAGAGCAGAGGAUCACUGUGAGAGGAAUUUGAGGAUCAAAUCCUGAAGUGGUACAUGUCACUACUGUUCAUAGUCUCUUUGCUGGAACUUGGUCCUAUGGCCCUACUGGCAGAGAGGAAGGCUAUGAAACCCAGUCUAGGCCUGCGCCUAGAAGAAGAAGAAGAAGAAACACCUUUUGAAGAACAGAGAGCAGUCUCUGUCAUACCAGGAGUACCUGUCACAUACUUGUAGAACAAAAAUCAGUAACAUUUUAAUUAUUGAAACAAUGUAACAACUUUAAACACAGUUUCAUAACUAGGAGUGAAUCACCCAUAAUCUCAUACCCGGAACAAAAUAUCUGUUAGUAUGAUGCACCUUUACAUAGCUGUAAUCUUAAAGGGCAUGUACUUCCUUCUUUGCUUUCCUUUUUUUUUUUCUUCAUCCUUUCCCUCUCUCCCUCUCUCCCUCUCUCCCUUUCUCCCUUCCUUCUUUCUUUUCUUCCUUUCUUUCUGAUUUUCUAACUUCCUUCUUUAAACAUUCCUUGAUCGUCUGUGGGUCUGGACAGCAACAUGGAGAUCAAUUAGGCGCAGCAUUUUAAAUUUGCCCUCAAGAAGUUCCACUAGUGUAAGAGUAGGCAAGUAACCAAUUAUUACAAUAGUGGGACAAGCGCUGUGAUAGAAAUAAAUACAGAGUACUGUGGCAGUCCUUACCCAGAAAAAGAUAUCUAGGGUAGAUGGUAUCUGAACUGAGAAUUAAAGAAUAAAUAGAAGAUAGCAUGGCAAAAAAAGUUCAAGAGUGUUCCAUUCUUUGAGAAUAGGGCAUUGAGAUAGAACCUGUAGACAUGAGAUAGAACUGUGUGCAUCCUGGAAAUUGCACAUGGUUCAGAUUGAUUGGGAAAUAGAGUGUGGAUGGGAAGUGAUGAAAGCUGAGUCAGUAGAGUUCGAUGGGGGUCAAAUUGUGAAAGAGUGUGAGCUCUGCUAAGGAGAUGAUAUUUUAGCUUAAAUACCAGAAGAGCCAUUGAAUUAUUUUAAGCAUAGGAGUGAUCUAAUCGGAACUCUGCUUGAGAAAGAUAACCCUGGUUGCUGUGUGAAAAAAUAUACCAGAGGCAAACAAAGUUGAAGCCAGGAGACCAGUUAAAAGACAAAAUUCAUAAUUUAUAUGAGAUAUGAUGAUAGUUUGACUUAGGCUGUGAUUGACAUUGCAGAGUAACAUAUCGCAUUCAAGAGAUGUUUGGAUGAUGAAACCAAGAGGGCUUGGAAAUUGAUUGGAUAUGAGGCAUUAGAGGAAUAUGUUAGGGCUAGAUCCCAGGAUUCUGGUUUAGAUAAUUGGAUAGACAAUUAAAGCAGAAACUAUUGAAGAAGGGGAGAAGAUAAAGAGUUUUGAUUUUCAUUUCAAUUCUAAGGUAUUCUUGGAAAUAUAAGUAGAGGAUGCUGAUGGGGGUUGGUUAUAAAGCAAAUUCAAGAGUGAGACUUCUGGAGUUAAGAUACAUAAUCGGAUCUGUAAGAAUGAAAGAAAGAAGUUGUUCAGGGACUAUGUGUACAGUAUGAAGACCAACAUAUAAAUGAAAUAUAAAAGAACAAAAGCUGACAAUGGAGUCUGUGAAAGAGCAAACAAAAAAAUGAGGAAGAGAACAGAGCAUGAAGUCACAGAAACCAAGGGAAGAAAAUUUUAGAUGCCGAUCAAAGAUCAAGGAAAAUAAAGAUAAAAAUGUGUCAAUUAGAUUUGGUAUUAAAGAAAGCAUUAGUAUCUUUUUGAAUACAAUUUUAUGGCUGCAUGGCAAAGAAUCAGAUGACUGGAAUCAGGAAGUGAAUAGAAAGUGAGAAAUGAAAAGGGCUCUCGAUAAGGUUUCCCUUAUUGAGAUAGGAGGUAAGCUCUAAUGUUUAUUUGAAGUUUUUUUUUUUCUUCCAAAGCUGGGAAAGAUUUAAUAAAGUAUGAAUGCUUUUAAGGAAAAGUUUGUAGACAGAGAUUUUUUGACAAUAGUAGAGCAAAUCAUGGCGAAAUAAUUGAUAGGAUGAGGUCCCAAGAAAGCAAGAACACUCCUUGAGGAAGAAGCUUUCCAUUUUAACAGGCAGUAACAAAGAGCAAUGAAUCAGGAUGAGUCUACGUUUGUCAGUUUAGAGUGGAAAUUGUUGGUAGAGCUCAUGGGACAACUCCUAUUUUACUUGUGACAAAAGCUUAACUGCUGAGAGCAAACAGGGUGGUGGGAUCAGCUAUUAUUUUUAAAUGGAGAAAUUUAAAAAUCACAAUUGCGAAGUAAAAUCUUUCAAGAAAGAUAGAAGAGGAAUACUGCUUAGUGCUGUGCGCCUCUUUGAAGUCAGAGUUGAUGCAGUGACCACCAUGCCAAGGGCUGCUUCGGGGCUUUCUCCCACAGCGCUCAUUGAGCUAUGUGAGAAGGCGAAGAUGGAAAAUAGGUGAAUGACAGCACACAUAUCACACGAGUUUGGCAAGAGGAUAAGUGAGGCAAGGGUAGCAGCAAGAGAGUGAAGAAAAUGCUCAGCCAGAAAACCUAAGCUGACUAUGAAAGAAGGAAAACAGUUCCACAGACUGGAGAGUUGCAAGAGAUACAGAUUAAGCAACAGUAAUUAACUGAAGAAGAAUUAAUUAACUGAAAGAAGUAAUUAACUUCUUUCUUAGAAGAAGAAGAAAAAACGGUAAUAUCCUGAGCAUGUAUGUUUUACUUUACUAUGACAUAAAGAGUCCACGGAGAUCUAAAUAAAUAUUUGUUGAAUGAUGAA
This is a long non-coding RNA of Homo sapiens (human), 6176 nucleotides long. RefSeq lists it as uncharacterized. The record is from RefSeq and is a predicted model, not a curated record. The transcript is spliced from 5 exons. NCBI's taxonomy places the organism in Eukaryota, Metazoa, Chordata, Mammalia, Primates, Hominidae.